ACACCACACCUGCACAUGGAAUAGAUUAGUUGAAAUAAUUUAAACGGGAUCCGACGGAUGCUGAAGCCAUAGUACCUGUUAAGCAACUGAGUUAUCUGGAGAGUUAUUCAGUGAUGUAGGCUUAUAGCUAGCAGAAUUUUACAUUCAAUUCUACGCGCCAAAGGAGGCUGCCACAGUUAAUUUCUUCAGGUAAAAGCCCCAACAACUAGCAUAAUCUGCCAUGGCGUCUGACACUGACACAGUGACUGGCGACAUAUCUUCGGCAGGUUUCGACUACGACGACUGGUCAGAUGUGGUCGAAUUGGCCAGUCAACUCCUGACGACAUUCCGGGUAGGCUUUUCACUCGUCACCAUCAUCUUGGUCGUCGGCCUGGUCGCCAACGGGUUUGUUCUCUAUGCCAUCCUGCGAAGCAAGAAGUUACGGAAUACUGUCUACAACGUGUACAUCGUCAGCCUCUCUGUUUCAAAUUUUAUUUUUCUUCUUGUCUGGGGACUGACCGAUGCAGUCAUUUACGGGAUAUAUCUUCACAAGCAAUUGUUCCACGUCGUGACGGACUCGAAUAUUAGGAAACUGAUCGAAGCAUGUGAAUCGAGUACUAUGGUGAUUAAUUGUUUCAUGAUAACGGCACUGGCAGUGGAUAGAUACGCCAUCGUUGCACAUCCCCAGGCUCUGCAUAACAGGAGAACGGUAAAGAACGCCCUCAUCGGCUGUGGCAUUGUCUGGGCUGUUGGAUUGCUGUCAUCGUGUGCGGUUAUUCCCAUCGACCUGUUCACCACUCUGGAAACAUUGUACUGCAUCAAUAUCAUCUUGUUCAUAUUUACCUUUGCCAUUCCCUUCCUCAUCAUAAUAGUGUGUUUCGGGUUAACCAUCGGGGCUGCUGAAACGAAGCGAAACGCGUCGACUCUGUCCCUAACCAGUCGGCGAAGAAUUGCACGCAAAACACGCUUCUUGGCGCUGAUCGGAUCAGUGUCGCUAUCUUUCUUCAUCAGUUGGGGCUAUUGGCAUGGCUACUACUUAGCGAUAUGGCCACAUGUUCUCAAGGGUGACUUCUAUCACCGUAACGUGGUGCUUCACAUUUCCUUAAACAUGUUAACCGAUGUCCUCGUCCUCUUCAACGCGGCGCUCAAUCCAAUUCUCUACGUUCUCAAUCAACCUCACAUGAAGCGCCAUCUGGCCAGUUUGUUUCCUUGCGGACGUAAAAGUACACAACACGCGGCGGCUGAAAUGAACAAUGGACGAUCUGAUGGAACAACAGAAAGUGUGUCCGUUACGCCAAACGAUGACGGUGUCGCUUUCAAUGUUGCGGAAGAAUCACUGGCGGAAACUGUUCUAAAAUCUACAUCUGGUAUCUAGGAAUGCAAUAUGGCGAACAUAAUUAGGUCCACGCGUCUCCAACAUCUUCAACAGCAACAUCGAAUGACUAAUAUUUUCUUUUCAAACGAUUGGACUGACAGGCCCAGGCAAUUAAGUGGCAAACAUAUAUAUUGGGGGCUUGGGGCGCUUGCCCCCUCCCUCUCAUUUUUUCACGACGAAGAAAAAGAAGAGAUUGUUAUGAAAGAAAAAGAUAAGAGAGAAGGGUGAAAUAUGAUAUUAUUUUCUGAAUAUUAUGUCAUGAUCUAUUGCAAUUUUUUUUUUGUCAUUGAAAUGCCGAAAUUUUGCUCGCUCGCAAGUUUUCAUAGACAUUGAUGAAGGUGGAGGACCUUUUGGAACUUGCCACACAAAAAAAUGCGAUGGUCUCUUUGUAAGAAGCAAUCACCCCUCUUAAAGUACUUUUUAAAAUGUGAAGUCCAUCCCAUAACAACAAUGCGAUAAUUGAUGUAGGGAAGGAGAAGCACUGAAAAUUUCAUCAGUUAGUAAAAACGAAAGUUAUGACAUCGCUAUAUAAGUUUAUUACCCUGGCAUGUAUGCACAUGAGGGAGAUGACGUCAUACCUUUUCUUUUGUAUGUGAUUAUGUAAUAUCAACAAAAUAUUUCAAUUUUACUGUUGAUAAAAAACCCUCUUCAUUGAUUCACAAUUUUAACGGAAAAUCGAUUCAAACUGUACCGUUAAUUUGGGAAAAUUUAGAAUAUUGAUUAGAUUGAAACAAAAAUAUUUGUAACAGUGAGUGUAUAACAUCAAUGGAUCCCGUACUUAAAGGGAUGGUGCGGGCUGAGAGUAUUUGUAGCUUAAUAAAUAGAGUAGAAUUCACUAAGCAAAAUGCCGAAAAUUUCAUCAAAAUCGGAUAACAAAUAACAAAGUUAUUGAAUUUUAAGUUUAAGCAAUAUUUUGUGAAAACAGUUGUCAUGAAUAUUCAUCAGCCCACCUAAUGAAUAUUCAUGACGACUGUUUUCACAAAAUAUUGCUAAACUUUAAACUUCCAUAACUUUAUUAUUUGUUAUCCGAUUUUAUUGAAAUUUUCGGCAUUUUGCUCAGUGAAUUCUACUCUAUGUAUUAAGAUAUAAAUAUUUUCAGCCCGGACCAUCCCUUUAAAUGCCACCAUUCAGUGUUAUGCUUGUUUGAUUACUCUCUAAUUCUACCGAACUGUUUUGUCCGCGUGAAUUUGACCUUUAACUAUUCUGAGGUUCUAAUAAUAAAUCAGAAAGUGAAAGAAUCAUAGUGUAUGAAAGUUGACAAGAAAAUCCACCAAAGGUAUGAUUCAUUUUUUGUGACGUCACACGCGAGCUUAUGUCACGUACUAUAAAUUCUGUAGCUUUUUUUUUCAUAAAUUUUAAAUAGCUUUUACCUUAAUUUGCAUAAAUAUGACUCAUCCCUUAUGUCUACGUGUCUACGAAAACUGAUACAUGAGUAGGUCUCUUUGAUUUCUAAUUUCUUUUUAUUUGUCUUUUUAGAAGUUUACCUGUUGAGAAUUUGUUUUUUCUUUCAUUAAAAAUACGAAAAAAAAACUCUUGUCAAUGCUGAUUUGGAAUGACACUUGGUGUUACUUAUCCUUACUUUUUCUUGUUUCUUGAAAGCUAUAUGUUUCAAUUUUUGUAAGUGAUUUUGGUUAAAUACUUAUCUGAAUUGAGAAAGAUGUAUCUUUUUGUUGGGAUAAAAAUCAAUUAAUUAUUUGGAUUUGAAUAAAAAAAUAUAUACAAUUUGCUCUUUCUGGAUUUUAAUUGCCCCGCCCCCUUUGGGUGACAUCCGGUGGGCCUAUAGGCCUUGAUACACCGUUGUGUAUUCAAGCGGAUUAGGAAACACUUGGCUUCCCCUCUUCUUUUUCUAUUGAAGGAUUCAAUUGCACAUUGCAUUCAUCAAGUUUGAAAGACACCAUUUUGAUAUAAACCACAUUUUUUUAUGGAAUUCAUAGCGGUUUCGGAAACGCAACCUAUAUCAGGCUUUCCAUAUGGGUGUGUCUGUGUGUGUGUGUGCAGUUUUUCGGGGGGGGGGGGGUAUUGAUGCACUGGGUAUAGAUCCAAAUACCAGAUUCAUCACAGGUGGCACUCUACAAAAAUAAUUGUCAAGCCUCCAAAUUAAAGUUAUUAACAUUCAUGGGGAACAAUUUCCCGUUAUGCUUAGGACCAAAGGACUGAAUAUAAAAAUUCCUCAGGGUUUGGGUACCCCCCCCCCCUCCAGGAUCGUCGUCUUGGAGUGUGUCAUGGUAUAUCUUUCAAAUCCAAACUCAAUCAAAAACCUAGCAAGUGACCUGCUUACUUGGUGAUUUCACACACAUCAAUAAAGUUGGCGGAGUACAGCAAGUCUGCAUAAGCCGACUUAACCCAAGGCAAGACAAGACAAGACAAGAUCAAGGUAUGUGUGAUGCCCCCUUCCAAUAUAGCUCAACAUUGUCGCUGGUCAAAAGAUGAUGACCAGCCAAAAUCUAGGCCUACUCAUUCAACGCAGGUCGUUAUUAUAAGGAGGGGGGGGGCAUCGGCCAAAAGCUCCUAUAUGAGAAAAUAUCGUUUAAAUUUGGUCUGCCCACACAAUAUAUCCGUCAAAAACAGUGGCGUAACAGGCGGGGGGGGGGGGGGGCAAGUUGCACCCCAGGCGGAUUUCGAUCACCGGGAAAAUAACCCCCAAAAACGGGAAAAGAGCAAGGGGAGGAAGAAAGAAAGGGAAAGAAAAAAGAGGAAAUGGGGAAAGGAAAGGGAAAGGGAAAAAGUGGG
RNA transcript from Lytechinus pictus (painted urchin), 4084 nucleotides. It is a transcript of the gene named N-formyl peptide receptor 3-like, with no coding region annotated. Lineage: Eukaryota; Metazoa; Echinodermata; Echinoidea; Temnopleuroida; Toxopneustidae. The record is from RefSeq and is a predicted model, not a curated record. The transcript has 4 exons.